CUAGUGCUUUGCUUCUGUUAAUUCUUCAGCGUACUCAGAGGAAUCAUUAAGUAGAAGUUUAAAGACUGAAAGGUUUCAAGGUAAGACCAAGCAACAGCAAACAUGGAGUGAAGAAAUGCAAUUGUGAGUAGAAGAACCUACAGUAUUGCUUAAAAAUACCUUAAAUGGUAAACAGCUUGGUCAAUCUUGAUAUGCAUCAAUUAAUGCAAAUUGGAGUGAUGGACCAAAUCUUAGCAGGCUGAAAACAAGAAUUAAAAAAGACACUUCCCCCAAAAAACAGAAAAUCAAAAAAGAACACAUAGAAACCACCUUAUUGAAACAUCAGAGCACUGCAGAUGUAGUCAGUUACUCUUUAAGAUUAGAAUUUCUGAUA
Ahaetulla prasina is the source of this 373-nucleotide long non-coding RNA. RefSeq lists it as uncharacterized. The record is from RefSeq and is a predicted model, not a curated record. The transcript is spliced from 3 exons. NCBI's taxonomy places the organism in Eukaryota, Metazoa, Chordata, Lepidosauria, Squamata, Colubridae.